AACGAACGCUGGCGGCAUGCCUAACACAUGCAAGUCGAACGAGACCUUCGGGUCUAGUGGCGCACGGGUGCGUAACGCGUGGGAACCUGCCCUUAGGUUCGGAAUAACUCACCGAAAGGUGUGCUAAUACCGGAUAAUGUCUUCGGACCUAAGAUUUAUCGCCUUUGGAUGGGCCCGCGUUGGAUUAGCUAGUUGGUAGGGUAAAAGCCUACCAAGGCGACGAUCCAUAGCUGGUCUGGGAGGAUGCUCAGCCACACUGGGACUGAGACACGGCCCAGACUCCUACGGGAGGCAGCAGUGGGGAAUAUUGGACAAUGGGCGAAAGCCUGAUCCAGCAAUGCCGCGUGAGUGAUGAAGGCCUUAGGGUUGUAAAGCUCUUUUACCCGGGAUGAUAAUGACAGUACCGGGAGAAUAAGCUCCGGCUAACUCCGUG
Molecule: ribosomal RNA, 433 nt
Filed under: uncultured bacterium
Lineage: Bacteria
Description: partial 16S ribosomal RNA
Rfam family: Bacterial small subunit ribosomal RNA
Source: RNAcentral